UCGGAUGUAGUGCACGGCGCACACCCGCUCUUCGUAGAAAUAGAAUGACUGAAGCGGGAGGAAGUGGGUUCGACUCCCAGUGUCCGAA
Molecule: non-coding RNA, 88 nt
Organism: Mycena crocata
Lineage: Eukaryota; Fungi; Basidiomycota; Agaricomycetes; Agaricales; Mycenaceae
Source: the annotation of a GenBank genome assembly